This is a long non-coding RNA of Peromyscus californicus insignis, 2581 nucleotides long. RefSeq lists it as uncharacterized. NCBI's taxonomy places the organism in Eukaryota, Metazoa, Chordata, Mammalia, Rodentia, Cricetidae. The record is from RefSeq and is a predicted model, not a curated record. The transcript is spliced from 5 exons.
UUAAGACUUUUGUUAUUCAAUUGAUAUCACACCCUCUCCUCCUAAGACUCAUUACUAUUUCAGAAGAGGAGCUGAAAAGACUGUAAGAGCCAGAAGCAGCAGAGGACAAGGAAAGAGAGUUCACUGAACACAGCAAGGGGCUGCUCAUGUGAGCUGGCAGCAGUUGAGAGACCCAGGGAGAACUGUGCAGGCCCAAGCCAGACAAGGGUCCGGCAUGGAGAAGGAAGGUGGCCACGAAGUCCCAGUCCUGUCUAGGAGUUAUUGGUGACUGACAGCUGCUGGGAGGAGAUGUGGCCUCUGGAUGGGUGAUGGUUGAGAAACGUGGCUGCCUGGAUGUGUUCCUUAGCCACCUCCCCUCAUCACUGUGGCACGGAAUAGAUGAGUCCGGCAGCUCAACAGCAUGAAGCACUGCCUUAGAAGAAGAGCGGGGGUCCCAUUUCUCUUCCUGAUGGAGAACGUUAGAACGUUAGAAUGGAUCCAGGAGGAUUCAUCCUGUUGAUCUCAUUCUCCUUGAAUCCCCUCAUCAGAGACCCCAGCUCCAAACAUAGUCACAUUCAGAGACUUGAGAGAAUAGAAUUUCUGCAUGUGAAUUUUGACAGAACAUGAUUCAGCUGAUCCAAAACACACUGGAGACAUUGGCAGGCACCACUCCUUCAAGGCUGAAUCCAAGAAGAGGGAGUAGAUGGCGGCAGUGUGGGGGUGUAAGAAUUGGAUCAGCCCAGGAUGAUGAAGAGGGCAAAAAGAAAGAGCUUUCAAAUAAAAGAUACUGUCUUCUUCAGCUGCAGUCUGCACUUUCAAAGGCAUAAAAAAUAUAAGAUCAGGGGAGUCACAGAGUCUUGACCCAUGGUUUAGAAGAGUCACCAAGGCCAGGCAAUGAGCAGCAGGGCCAGUGUUCCUGAAAGGAGGCCCUGAGAGGCAACUGCAUGAAGGUGAGUAUGAAGCCUAGGUUGCAAUGGAGACCUCAGGAUGUUAAAGAUGUCAGGACCGUGGUACAUUCACCAAAGAUAUUCCCAGGCAUUGAAUGGAGCUAGUCCAAGAGAGAGUCUACAUAUGCUGCGGACAGAAAAGCUGUAGGAAAAAGGCUAGAAGCUUUUUGCUACCCAGGCAAUUUCAUCAUGAGACUCAGAUGCAAGUUAUGAAGAUGCAGGAUUUGGUGUUAGCUCUAUUAGAUUUUGGUCUUGCUUUGGUCUGAUCUGUGAUAAUGUAUUUUCUGAAAAAUAUCUUCCUUCAAAGAGACUGAAAUUUUGCCAGACUUUGCAACCAUAAUAGUGACAUGCCUUGAGAUGACUGAUGACUAUACUCUUAAUCUGUUCUGCUGUCCUGCUGUGUACUUGGCCUCUUUAAAUUUAACCUGCAUUAGAGAGAACAAUGCAAUCAACCCUACUAUGCCUUGGAUUUCCAAUAUUUUACAACCUAAGCUAAAUGCAUAGAGUUCACCUUAAACUGUGUAUUUUUUUGUGUGUCCAUAACCCAGAAUAAUUGCAUUUUUGUAUUAUGAGAUGAAGAUGAGAUUUUUGCAGGGGAGGAUAGAAGAUUAUAUGAUUUAAAGUGAUAUAAGUGGGUAUCAAGUUGAUAAGGAGUGGAGUUGAGAUAGUUAAUCUCAAGCGUCAACUCCCUGAGGUAUAGAAUCACCUGGGAGACUGUCUCCAGUCAUGCCUGGAGUUGGAAAGUCUGCCUGCUGUGGGUGGUACCAUAUGGGACUCUGGAAUGUGUAAAAAGCAGAAAGUGACCUAAACACAAGCAUCAAUCUCUGCUUCUUGACCAUUGAUUUAAUGUGACUAAAUGCCUCAAGCUUCUACUUUUUUUGCUGUCUCACCAUGUGGAUGGAGCUUGGAACUGUGAACUAAAAUAAACUUUCUCCCUUAUGUUGCUUUUUUAUCACAGGAGCAGGAGAAAUAAUUAAGACAGGAGCUAGCUGUCUCAGUUAGGGUUUCUAUUGCUAUGAAGAGACACCAUAACCAUGGCAACAUUUAAAAACAUUUAAUUGGGAUGGCUCACUUAAUGGUUCAGUCCAUUAUCAUCAUGAAGAGGAGCAUGGUGGUGUGCAGGCAGAUGUGGUGCUGGAGAUGAGAGUGCUAUAUCUUGUAGAGAAUAGGAAGUUGACUGACUGUCACACUAAGGGAAGCUUGAGCAAAAGAGACCACAAAGCCCACCCCCACAGUUACACACUUCCUCCAACAAGUUCACACCUUCUAAUAGUGCCUUUCCUUUUGGGGGCAUUUUCUUUCAAACCACCACACUAUGUUACAAUUAAAAGAAUUCUGAGGACAAAUUCCACCAAACUAAUAACCAUUUAUUAACAAAACGACCCCCAUGUGAGCACGUAACUGAUGCAUCACUUAGAGAAAUCCUAUCUUUGCAUAAAUACACUGAUCACCACCUUUCAGGAUAAGCUUACCCAUGUGCUGAGGUUCUGAGUAACAUUAAUUCAACUCUAGAGGAGAAUGCUUUUUUCAUUUGUCCAGGAGAUACAGAAACAUAGGACCAAGGGGACCCUGGACUUUUUUCAUUACUCCAUCCAUAAUUCCAUCAUUAUUCCAUGUAAAUUUCAUCAUUUCUACCCAUAAAUAAUAAAUCCUCU